GCAUUGGUGUUUUAGUGGUAAAAUUAUCUGCCUUCCAUGUAGGAGACCCAGGUAUUAUUCUUGGCCAAUGUA
Molecule: transfer RNA, 72 nt
Filed under: Loxodonta africana (African savanna elephant)
Lineage: Eukaryota; Metazoa; Chordata; Mammalia; Proboscidea; Elephantidae
Rfam family: tRNA
About the family: Transfer RNA (tRNA) molecules are approximately 80 nucleotides in length. Their secondary structure includes four short double-helical elements and three loops (D, anti-codon, and T loops). Further hydrogen bonds mediate the characteristic L-shaped molecular structure. tRNAs have two regions of fundamental functional importance: the anti-codon, which is responsible for specific mRNA codon recognition, and the 3' end, to which the tRNAs corresponding amino acid is attached (by aminoacyl-tRNA synthetases). tRNAs cope with the degeneracy of the genetic code in two manners: having more than one tRNA (with a specific anti-codon) for a particular amino acid; and 'wobble' base-pairing, i.e. permitting non-standard base-pairing at the 3rd anti-codon position.
Source: Rfam by way of RNAcentral